Molecule: ribosomal RNA, 593 nt
Filed under: uncultured bacterium
Lineage: Bacteria
Description: partial 16S ribosomal RNA
Rfam family: Bacterial small subunit ribosomal RNA
Source: RNAcentral
UGGGGAAUUUUGGACAAUGGGCGCAAGCCUGAUCCAGCCAUGCCGCGUGCGGGAAGAAGGCCUUCGGGUUGUAAACCGCUUUUGUCAGGGAAGAAAUCUUCUGAGUUAAUACCCCGGGAGGAUGACGGUACCUGAAGAAUAAGCACCGGCUAACUACGUGCCAGCAGCCGCGGUAAUACGUAGGGUGCAAGCGUUAAUCGGAGUUACUGGGCGUAAAGCGUGCGCAGGCGGUUUUGUAAGACAGAGGUGAAAUCCCCGGGCUCAACCUGGGAACUGCCUUUGUGACUGCAAGGCUUGAGUGCGGCAGAGGGGGGAUGGAAUUCCGCGUGUAGGCAGUGAAAAUGCGUAGAUAUGCGGAGGAACACCGAUGGCGAAGGCAAUCCCCUGGGCUGCACUGACGCUCAUGCACGAAAAGCGUGGGGGAGCAAAACAGGAUUAGAUACCCCUGGUAGUCCACGCCCUAAAACGAUGUCAACUGGUUGUUGGGGAAGGUUCCUUCUCAGUAACGUAGCUAACGCGUGAAGUUGACCGCCUGGGGAGUACGGCCGCAAGGUUGAAACUCAAAGGAAUUGACGGGGUCAUAGCUGUUUCCU